ACGGGUGAGUAACACGUGAGUAACCUGCCCUUGACUCUGGGAUAACCUCCGGAAACGGAAGCUAAUACCGGAUAUGACGCACGGAGGCAUCUCCUGUGCGUGGAAAGAAUUUCGGUCAAGGAUGGACUCGCGGCCUAUCAGGUAGUUGGUGAGGUAAAGGCUCACCAAGCCUACGACGGGUAGCCGGCCUGAGAGGGUGACCGGCCACACUGGGACUGAGACACGGCCCAGACUCCUACGGGAGGCAGCAGUGGGGAAUAUUGCACAAUGGGCGCAAGCCUGAUGCAGCAACGCCGCGUGAGGGAUGACGGCCUUCGGGUUGUAAACCUCUUUUAGUAGGGAAGAAGCGAAAGUGACGGUACCUGCAGAAAAAGCACCGGCUAACUACGUGCCAGCAGCCGCGGUAAUACGUAGGGUGCGAGCGUUGUCCGGAAUUAUUGGGCGUAAAGAGCUCGUAGGCGGUCUGUCGCGUCUGCUGUGAAAACCCGAGGCUCAACCUCGGGCCUGCAGUGGGUACGGGCAGACUAGAGUGCGGUAGGGGAGAAUGGAAUUCCUGGUGUAGCGGUGGAAUGCGCAGAUAUCAGGAGGAACACCGAUGGCGAAGGCAGUUCUCUGGGCCGUAACUGACGCUGAGGAGCGAAAGCGUGGGGAGCGAACAGGAUUAGAUACCCUGGUAGU
Molecule: ribosomal RNA, 678 nt
Filed under: Cryocola sp.
Lineage: Bacteria; Bacillati; Actinomycetota; Actinomycetes; Micrococcales; Microbacteriaceae
Description: bacterial SSU rRNA
Rfam family: Bacterial small subunit ribosomal RNA
Source: RNAcentral